UGCAAUAGAGUGGGAAGAUUUUUAAGUAGAGGUGAUAAACCUAUCGAACUUAGAGAUAGCUGGUUUUUUAAGAAAAGAUUUUUAGUUCAGCCCCGAGCCUCCCACUUAUACAAAAACCUCACUAGGCUCAGGAGUCAUUCAAAUAAGGCACAGCUUAUUUGAAACAGGAUACAACCUAGAAAAAAGGGUAAAUAUAUGAAAUUCUUAAUAAGUGGGCCUAAAAGCAGCCACCUUUUAAAAAGCGUCAAAGCUUAGCAUUAACAAUUUUAUAAAUAACCAUAUUAACUUCUAACCCUUACCCGCUAUUAAAAAACUCCAUAAUAUUAUGGAAGCUAUUAUGCUAGAACAAGUAACAAGAAAAAGACUUUCUCCAAAAUGUAAGCUUAAGCCAUAAUAGACCAACUAAUGGCAAUUAACGUUUAUAAGCCACUUGUAAAAACACAACAAGAAAACCUUACAUAAUUUUACCGUUAAUCUUACACCAGCGCAU
This 490-nucleotide ribosomal RNA is filed under the name Boophis anjanaharibeensis. Its description in RNAcentral is "partial 16S ribosomal RNA". The stretch from base 1 to 344 matches the Rfam family "Bacterial large subunit ribosomal RNA", at positions 790 to 1300 of the family's 2925-position model. The record is from RNAcentral. Lineage: Eukaryota; Metazoa; Chordata; Amphibia; Anura; Mantellidae.